ACCCCUCUAAACAUGUGAACGUGUUACGUUACAUGGCAAGGGGGAGGGGGUGGAUUAAAUUUGCAGAUAGAAUUCAGGUUCCUAAUCAGCUGAUGGGGACAUGGAAAGGUUGUUCUGGAUUAACCACAGGGACUCAAUGGUCUAUGAGAGCAGAGAUCUUUGUUUGUUUCAUUCACUUCUGCAUCCCAUGUCCAGAACUGGAGCUGGCAUAAACCAAAAGGUGGAAACAACCCCAGUGUCCAUCAACGGAUGAAUGGAUAAACAAAAUACGGUCCCUCCAUAAAAUAGAAUAUUAUUCAGCCUUAAAAAUGAAGGAGAUCCUGACACCUGCUACAACAUGGAGGAAACUUGGGGACAUGAUGCUCAGUGAAAUAAACCAGACACAAAAGGGCAAAUGCUGCAUGAUUCCAGUUCUAAGAGGUCCCUUGAGGAGUCAUCCAUAGCGACAGCAGGUAGAUGGUGGGG
Long non-coding RNA from Orcinus orca (killer whale), 465 nucleotides. RefSeq lists it as uncharacterized. The transcript is spliced from 3 exons. The record is from RefSeq and is a predicted model, not a curated record. NCBI's taxonomy places the organism in Eukaryota, Metazoa, Chordata, Mammalia, Artiodactyla, Delphinidae.